CCUACGGGAGGCUGCAGUGAGGAAUAUUGGUCAAUGGACGGAAGUCUGAACCAGCCAUGCCGCGUGCAGGAAGACGGCUCUAUGAGUUGUAAACUGCUUUUGUACAAGGGUAAACCUGAAUACGUGUAUUCGGCUGAAAGUACUGUACGAAUAAGGAUCGGCUAACUCCGUGCCAGCAGCCGCGGUAAUACGGAGGAUCCAAGCGUUAUCCGGAUUUAUUGGGUUUAAAGGGUGCGUAGGCGGAUUGAUAAGUUAGAGGUGAAAUGUCCGAGCUUAACUCGGGAACUGCCUCUAAAACUGUUGAUCUAGAGAGUAGAUGCGGUAGGCGGAAUGUAUGGUGUAGCGGUGAAAUGCUUAGAGAUCAUACAGAACACCGAUUGCGAAGGCAGCUUACCAAUCUAUAUCUGACGUUGAGGCACGAAAGCGUGGGGAGCAAACAGGAUUAGAUACCCCUGUAGUC
Molecule: ribosomal RNA, 460 nt
Filed under: uncultured bacterium
Lineage: Bacteria
Description: partial 16S ribosomal RNA
Rfam family: Bacterial small subunit ribosomal RNA
Source: RNAcentral